UUCACAUGAGAUGCUUGCACCUUCUAACAAGUACGAUCAAGAAACAACUAAACCUAUUGAGAAGAUACAAAGACGGCUUGCGCAAAACCGUGAGGCUGCUCGUAAAAGCCGAUUGCGGAAAAAGGCUUAUGUUCAACAGUUGGAAAAUAGUCGUUUAAAGCUGAUUCAAUUGGAGCAAGAGCUUGCACAGAUG
Hibiscus syriacus is the source of this 193-nucleotide long non-coding RNA. RefSeq lists it as uncharacterized. The transcript has 3 exons. NCBI's taxonomy places the organism in Eukaryota, Viridiplantae, Streptophyta, Magnoliopsida, Malvales, Malvaceae. The record is from RefSeq and is a predicted model, not a curated record.